GCUUGUCUUCGUGGGGUGCUGCUACCACGCCAUUUGGCUGCUGGGCUGCGUGCUCUUCUUCGCAUUCCUGGGGUAGCUCACUGCAAGAACCGGGAUGAACUCAAAAUCUUUCCUUCGAAACGCGUGAAUUUUGAAAGAAUUUAGUUUUGGAAAAAUUCUCACAAAAUUCUGCCGGUUUUGGAGGACAUUUCGCACGCACUCGACAUAUAUAUGCUGCUAAUUACUCCUAUUUUUCCAUGUUUGGUUUGUGCUGGUUUUUUUUUCUUUUUUUGGGUGCGUAGUGCAUGUUUCCGAUUUUAGCUUGGGAAACAGAAGUUGUAGUCAGGUUACCUGAAUUUAUCUUGGAAACCUGAAUUAAUAUUGGCACCACUCCUGUAAUUCUGUGAUGAUGGCAUUGGCACUGAUCGUCAUCUAUCACUAGUAUAGUUGAAUAGUCUUCGCCAUGUGUUUGUUACCAUCGUUAAUUAUUUGUUCUUAAGGAUAUAUAGUUAUAUAUCAUCAUCAUAAAUACUCCCUCCG
This 519-nucleotide long non-coding RNA is filed under the name Oryza brachyantha (malo sina). RNAcentral's name for it is "long non-coding RNA (OBRA_LNC000356)". Lineage: Eukaryota; Viridiplantae; Streptophyta; Magnoliopsida; Poales; Poaceae. The record is from RNAcentral.